This 75-nucleotide transfer RNA is filed under the name Azospirillum cavernae. Its description in RNAcentral is "Azospirillum sp. K2W22B-5 tRNA-Val". It matches the Rfam family "tRNA". Rfam says of the family: Transfer RNA (tRNA) molecules are approximately 80 nucleotides in length. Their secondary structure includes four short double-helical elements and three loops (D, anti-codon, and T loops). Further hydrogen bonds mediate the characteristic L-shaped molecular structure. tRNAs have two regions of fundamental functional importance: the anti-codon, which is responsible for specific mRNA codon recognition, and the 3' end, to which the tRNAs corresponding amino acid is attached (by aminoacyl-tRNA synthetases). tRNAs cope with the degeneracy of the genetic code in two manners: having more than one tRNA (with a specific anti-codon) for a particular amino acid; and 'wobble' base-pairing, i.e. permitting non-standard base-pairing at the 3rd anti-codon position. The record is from RNAcentral. Lineage: Bacteria; Pseudomonadati; Pseudomonadota; Alphaproteobacteria; Rhodospirillales; Azospirillaceae.
GGUCUUGUAGCUCAGCGGGAGAGCACUACGUUGACAUCGUAGGGGUCACAGGUUCAAUCCCUGUCGGGACCACCA